Molecule: ribosomal RNA, 433 nt
Filed under: uncultured bacterium
Lineage: Bacteria
Description: partial 16S ribosomal RNA
Rfam family: Bacterial small subunit ribosomal RNA
Source: RNAcentral
AACGAACGCUGGCGGUAUGCCUAACACAUGCAAGUCGAACGAGACCUUCGGGUCUAGUGGCGCACGGGUGCGUAACGCGUGGGAACCUGCCCUUAGGUUCGGAAUAACUCCCCGAAAGGGGUGCUAAUACCGGAUAAUGUCUUCGGACCAAAGAUUUAUCGCCUUUGGAUGGGCCCGCGUUGGAUUAGCUAGUUGGUAGGGUAAAAGCCUACCAAGGCGACGAUCCAUAGCUGGUCUGAGAGGAUGAUCAGCCACACUGGGACUGCGACACGGCCCAGACUCCUACGGGAGGCAGCAGUAGGGAAUAUUAGACGAUGGGCGAAAGCCUGAUCCAGCAAUGCCGCGUGAGUGAUGAAGGCCUUAGGGUUGUAAAGCUCUUUUACCCGGGAUGAUAAUGACAGUACCGGGAGAAUAAGCUCCGGCUAACUCCGUG